This 1252-nucleotide long non-coding RNA is filed under the name Androctonus crassicauda. The record is from RNAcentral. Lineage: Eukaryota; Metazoa; Arthropoda; Arachnida; Scorpiones; Buthidae.
GAAUUUUCAGGUAAUAAACAGUUUUAUGAUCCCAAUUACUUUUAUAAAUUGAGGGAAAUCUAUAAUUUUUUAAAUAAAUAUACAGAUAUAUAGGAAGUCCUUUAUUUAUGAUGGUGUGAAUUAUGAUCCAUACUUACAACUGCAAUUAUUUAUUAUGAAAAUCUUUACUUACGAUGGUCUCAGCUAUUUUGCAAUAAUGACAGCAGUUGACCAGAUGGCCAAGUAGUCACAAGGAUUAAAGUAUGCUGUGUUAUCACUCUAAAGUAUUUGUAUUUAAUCUGGGUCUCUAACCUCCAGAUUUUUUAGAUUUGCAGGCUUAGCCCAUUCAACCAUCCUUUACACUUGUGAUGAUAAUGGGUGGUCAUUGUGCAACAUUUCCAUUGUCGCGGAAUUCUGAGCCCCGUCCCCUCAGCAUCUCUUUUCUUUGUAGUAUUAAGACUAAUCUGUAUUUUAAGUUCUCUAGAUUCAUACCAGUGCAAUGUAGCUUCGACGGCAUCCAACAAAUACUCCAUUAUCAUUAGAAACAAACUUUUUAUUAAACGUAGUUAACUAGUAAUGCAAAACCAAAAUCAAGAAUUCCAGCACUUCUCAAUAAUACUCUUAUCAAUAAUAAUAUCAUUCACUUUAAAAAACAUCAAAACAAAAACACUUACAGUAUCAAGUCCACAAUACCACAUACAAUUUUACUUUAAAACCAUAACUGAGGUUCAAACCGUUGCCAACAACCUCGUACAAAGAAGAGAAGUUCCUAGUGCCAUCCUAUGGCAGUUUUUUUAUACAUCCAAAUAAUUAGCAUAAUUUUAACCAUAAACAAAAACACAAUUAUUUUAAAUACUUUAAACUAAAUUAUUUUUUCUCCAUAACAAAACAUCUUCCCAUAUUAUUAAAUAGUUGAAAUAAUCAAAUAAAUUGGUAAAAAAACAAAUUUUUAUAAAUCAUAACAUCAAACAUAAUGACGUCAUCUACUUGACAAGGAACGGUCGACAAGUGCACCUGUAUCCAAAUCCUUACAACAUAAAUGUACUACAAGUUUAACUUAGGUCAUCUUCAGCAACCGAUCAUUUAGUGAAAUAUAUACAUGAACACGAUAUACACAUAGUAUUAAUACAGGAACCAUAUGCAAAAGAAUAUAUACUAGGGUUUCUGCAUCGUUUCAGAGUGUACACUUCGGGCAUAGCUAGUGGUAGUUGUCACAAAUAAUGAUGUCAAGGCAUCACUUAUUCUGAAAAUGACUAACGAGAUUACUACAUCC